This is a long non-coding RNA of Homarus americanus (American lobster), 1290 nucleotides long. RefSeq lists it as uncharacterized. Lineage: Eukaryota; Metazoa; Arthropoda; Malacostraca; Decapoda; Nephropidae. The record is from RefSeq and is a predicted model, not a curated record. The transcript is spliced from 2 exons.
AACCUGAAGGGAACUGUCAGACCAGGUAUCUUUCAGAAUCUACUGGAUGUAAUCGACAGCUCAGGCAGAGCUGUUGGGUGAGUGGAACUCGAAGCUGAUCGAGGGAGGAGUAGUGCGGGGCAUUGACGCUCUCAGGCAUCAGUCCAGCGUCUGAAACUCCUCCACGCACAGGUUCCUCUUGGCCAAGAGCCUUGUAGAUUGGGACGACCUCCACACUAAUUUGGGAGAUGGAUGAAGGCCAGUGAACUCGGGUAAAUUCGUGAACACGAGCGUCAGGAACUAACCACCACCUCUGGGAUCCAUUCAACUGGUCAGCCGUUCAAUGUCCAGUUUGUUGAUAUCACAGGCAGAGCAAACACUGCCAGCCCCCUUCAUUGUUAUGGAUGAGUCCACUACUCAGUAGGGGUAUAUGGUGGCUGUUAUUCCUCUGAAUACACCUGUAUGUCUGAGUGUUUGGAGUCGGCAAGAGUAGGUUGACCAUCAGUUUGUGUGUGGGCAAAGGUACCAUAGUGGUGAAGAGAAGCUACUAAUUCUGGUGAUGUUAAAGUAUUAGUGUUGGUGCUGUAACUGGCAUCAUUGUCACUUGUAAUAGUGCUCAAAGGUGCUAUGUAAGAGUAUUGUGUGUGUUCUUGUACAUGUAAGUGGAAAAUGUACCUAAGUUUAACGGUACCAAAUAAGUAAAGCCAGGGAGUUGACCCCCAUCAUUCUCUCCCAUUGCUUGAUAUCGGAAUUACAGUGUACCCAUGUCAUAACCCCCGAGCCACAAUACCAAAGAUAAGAGGUUAUGGAGUAAUUUUAUGAAAUGAAAUAACUAGACAAAACUAAUGGAGAAAAUAAAUGAAGGAAGAAAUUAAGAGGAAACCAGGUUGAGUUUAAAAGUUAUCUUAUAAAUGGUUUCAGCGAUUCGAUUGUAAUUUACCAUGGUACCCAGUUGGGAGGAAGGAAUGAGCUAAUGUAGGUGUUUUUAACUGUGAUUUGUAAUAACCAUUUCUCUGUGCUGGUAUCUAAUAAACAUUUAACGGUAACGGAGUAUUUCAGAUUGCUAAUACUUUUGUUCCAUAUUUUUCCAAGGUACAGUAACAUUGCACAGUAUAUGUAAUUCUGUACUAAUUAAUUAGGGACAUAAUUAUUUCAGUAGGUUAUGUGUGUGUGUUUAUAUGCUGCUUUUAUUGAUAUAUACAUUAUAUAUUCUGUUACUUCUUACCAAAGUUCGAAUGUGUUUAGGCCUGUGUAAUCACGAAUGUGUUAGGCACAUGGUACAUAACAAUAAACGCCUGGAGUAAGACUUGG